GACGAAGGGGGCUAGCGUUGUUCGGAAUUACUGGGCGUAAAGCGCGUGUAGGCGGUUGCCCAAGUCGGGUGUGAAAACCUUGAGCUCAACUCAAGAAAUGCACUCGGUACUGGGUGACUAGAGGACCGGAGAGGAUAGUGGAAUUCCCAGUGUAGUGGUGAAAUACGUAGAGAUUGGGAAGAACACCAGUGGCGAAGGCGGCUAUCUGGACGGUUUCUGACGCUAAGACGCGAAAGCGUGGGGAGCAAACAGG
This 253-nucleotide ribosomal RNA is filed under the name uncultured bacterium. RNAcentral's name for it is "partial 16S ribosomal RNA". It matches the Rfam family "Bacterial small subunit ribosomal RNA", at positions 524 to 776 of the family's 1533-position model. The record is from RNAcentral.